CUGAAUAACUACGCUGAUCGCACGGUCUCGUACCGGCAACAUAUCCUUCAAGUGUCUGCCUUAUCAACUUUCGAUGGUAGUUUAUAUGACUACCAUGGUUGUAACGGGUAACGGAGAAUAAGGGUUCGACUCCGGAGAGGGAGCCUGAGAAACGGCUACCCCAUCCAAGGAAGGCAGCAGGCGCGCAAAUUACCCACUCUCAGAACGAGGAGGUAGUGACGAAAAAUAACGAGACAGUUCUCUAUGAGGUCUGUCAUCGGAAUGGGUACAAUCUAAACCCUUUAACGAGGAUCUAUUGGAGGGCAAGUCUGGUGCCAGCAUCCGCGGUAAUUCCACCUCCAAUAGCGUAUAUUAAAGUUGUUGCGGUUAAAAAG
RNAcentral lists this ribosomal RNA (374 nucleotides) under Nematoda sp. Its description in RNAcentral is "SSU rRNA". It matches the Rfam family "Eukaryotic small subunit ribosomal RNA", at positions 252 to 626 of the family's 1831-position model. Lineage: Eukaryota; Metazoa; Nematoda. The record is from RNAcentral.